Molecule: unclassified non-coding RNA, 159 nt
Filed under: uncultured Cladophialophora
Lineage: Eukaryota; Fungi; Ascomycota; Eurotiomycetes; Chaetothyriales; Herpotrichiellaceae
Description: sequence contains ITS2
Source: RNAcentral
UCACUAAUCAAGCCCGGCUUGCUGUUGGACCUUUUGUCGUGAAAAGACAGGUCCUAAAGAUAAUGACGGCGUCAGUUGGACCCUAGAUGCAACGAGCUUUAACCAGCACGCAUUUGUAGUUGGCCCUUUUGACCCGGUCUUUUUUAACCAAUUUUUUAA